UGGGGAAUAUUGCGCAAUGGAGGCAACUCUGACGCAGCCAUGCCGCGUGUGUGAAGAAGGCCCUCGGGUUGUAAAGCACUUUCAAUUGGGAGAAAAAGCUUGUCGUUAAUAGCGGCAAGCCUUGAUGUUACCUUUUAGAAGAAGCACCGGCUAACUCCGUGCCAGCAGCCGCGGUAAUACGGAGGGUGCGAGCGUUAAUCGGAAUUACUGGGCGUAAAGCGCGCGUAGGCGGUUGCUUAAGUCGGAUGUGAAAGCCCCGGGCUCAACCUGGGAACUGCAUUCGAUACUGGGCGACUAGAGUACGAGAGAGGGAGGUAGAAUUCCACGUGUAGCGGUGAAAUGCGUAGAUAUGUGGAGGAAUACCGGUGGCGAAGGCGGCCUCCUGGCUCGAUACUGACGCUGAGGUGCGAAAAGCGUGGGGAGCAAAACAGGAUUAGAUACCCUGGUAGUCCACGCCGUAAACGAUGUCAACUAGCCGUUGGGAGGUUGCCUCUUAGUGGCGCAGCUAACGCGAUAAGUUGACCGCCUGGGAGUACGGUCGCAAGAUUAAAACUCAAAGGAA
RNAcentral lists this ribosomal RNA (562 nucleotides) under uncultured bacterium. RNAcentral's name for it is "bacterial SSU rRNA". It matches the Rfam family "Bacterial small subunit ribosomal RNA", at positions 355 to 909 of the family's 1533-position model. The record is from RNAcentral.